UACGGAGGGUGCAAGCGUUAUCCGGAUUCACUGGGUUUAAAGGGCGCGCAGGCGGCGCAUUUUGUCAGGCGUGAAAGCCCCGGGCUUAACCUGGGAACUGCGUUUGAUACGGAUGGGCUAGAGUUCGGGAGAGGAGAGUGGAAUUCCCAGUGUAGAGGUGAAAUUCGUAGAUAUUGGGAAGAACACCGGUGGCGAAGGCGGCUCUCUGGACCGAGACUGACGCUGAGGCGCGAAAGCGUGGGGAGCAAACAGG
RNAcentral lists this ribosomal RNA (253 nucleotides) under uncultured bacterium. Its description in RNAcentral is "partial 16S ribosomal RNA". It matches the Rfam family "Bacterial small subunit ribosomal RNA", at positions 524 to 776 of the family's 1533-position model. The record is from RNAcentral.